UCCAGACUCCUACGGGAGGCAGCAGUGGGGAAUAUUGCACAAUGGGGGAAACCCUGAUGCAGCGACGCCGCGUGGGCGACGAAGCGCUCCGGCGCGUAAAGCCCUGUCAGCAGGGAAGAACAAAGACAGUACCUAACCAAGAAGCCCCGGCUAACUACGUGCCAGCAGCCGCGGUAAUACGUAGGGGGCAAGCGUUAUCCGGAUUUACUGGGUGUAAAGGGGGCGCAGACGGCGAUGCAAGCCAGGAGUGAAAGCCCGGGGCCCAACCCCGGGACUGCUCUUGGAACUGCGUGGCUGGAGUGCAGGAGGGGCAGGCGGAAUUCCUGGUGUAGCGGUGAAAUGCGUAGAUAUUAGGAGGAACACCAGUGGCGAAGGCGGCUUACUGGACUGUAACUGACGUUGAGGCUCGAAAGCGUGGGGAGCAAACAGGAUUAGAUACCCCCGUAC
Molecule: ribosomal RNA, 447 nt
Filed under: uncultured bacterium
Lineage: Bacteria
Description: partial 16S ribosomal RNA
Rfam family: Bacterial small subunit ribosomal RNA
Source: RNAcentral